CGGACGGGUGAGUAAUGUCUGGGAAACUGCCUGAUGGAGGGGAUAACUACUGGAAACGGUAGCUAAUACCGCAUAACGUCGCAAGACCAAAGAGGGGGACCUUAGGGCCUCUUGCCAUCGGAUGUGCCCAGAUGGGAUUAGCUAGUAGGUGGGGUAACGGCUCACCUAGGCGACGAUCCCUAGCUGGUCUGAGAGGAUGACCAGCCACACUGGAACUGAGACACGGUCCAG
Molecule: ribosomal RNA, 231 nt
Filed under: uncultured bacterium
Lineage: Bacteria
Description: partial 16S ribosomal RNA
Rfam family: Bacterial small subunit ribosomal RNA
Source: RNAcentral